RNAcentral lists this ribosomal RNA (526 nucleotides) under Bemisia leakii. RNAcentral describes it as "partial 16S ribosomal RNA". The record is from RNAcentral. Lineage: Eukaryota; Metazoa; Arthropoda; Insecta; Hemiptera; Aleyrodidae.
CCGGUCUGAACUCAGAUCACGUAAGAAAUCAUUGGUCGAACAGACCAUCCUCUAUAAGGGCUUCCCUAUAGAUAGUUCUUAAUCCAACAUCGAGGUCGUAAUUUAUUUUAUCAAUAAGAUCUUUCUAAAAAUUUUACGCUGUUAUCCCUUAGGUAAUUAAGUUUAUUUCAUAGUUGGGUAAUUUAUUCCACUCUUUAGUGUGAGAUUAAUAUAAAAAGAUUUUGGUAGUUUUAAAUCUCCCCAAUUUAAUAGUUCUUUUAGUUUUUUAAAAAAGGAACCAUAAAAUUCUAAAGGGUCUUCUUGUCUUUUAAUCUAAUCUGAGAUUUUUCACUUAGAUAUUAAUUUUUACUUAUUAAGUGGUAAAUAGUUGAUUUUUCAUUAUUCCAUUCAUUCCAGCUUUUAAUUAGAAAGCAAUUUAUUAUGCUACCUUAGUACAGUUAAUUUACUGCAGCUAUUUAAUAUAAAUCAUUGAGCAGGAUUUAUCUAAGAUUUAAUUUCCUUACACUAUGUUUUUGUUAAACAGGCG